This 436-nucleotide ribosomal RNA is filed under the name uncultured bacterium. Its description in RNAcentral is "bacterial SSU rRNA". It matches the Rfam family "Bacterial small subunit ribosomal RNA", at positions 28 to 511 of the family's 1533-position model. The record is from RNAcentral.
GAUGAACGCUGGCGGCGUGCUUACCACUUGCAAGUCAAACGAACCUUCGGGUUAGGGGCGGACGGGUGAGUAACGCGGGAAAAUCUGCCCUCAGGAGGGGGAUAACGGCUGGAAACGGCCGCUAAUACCCCAUAUGCCGCGAGGUGAAAUGAAUUUCGCCGGAGGAUGAGCUCGCGUCUGAUUAUCUAGUUGGGGGGGUAAAAGCCUACCAAGGCAUCGAUCAGUAGCUGGUCUGAAAGGAUGAUCAGCCACACUGGGACUGAGACACGGCCCAAACUCCUACGGGAGGCAGCAGUGGGGAAUUUUCCGCAAUGGGCGAAAGCCUGACGAAGCACCGCCGCGGGAGGGAUGAAGGCCUCUGGGCUGUAAACCUCUUUUAUCAAGGAAAAAAAUCUGACGGUACUUGAUGAAUAACCCACGGCUAAUUCCGGGCCAC